UACGUAGGGUGCAAGCGUUAUCCGGAAUUAUUGGGCGUAAAGAGCUCGUAGGCGGUCUGUCGCGUCGGAUGUGAAAAUCCAGGGCUCAACCCUGGACCUGCAUUCGAUACGGGCAGACUAGAGUUCGGUAGGGGAGACUGGAAUUCCUGGUGUAGCGGUGAAAUGCGCAGAUAUCAGGAGGAACACCGGUGGCGAAGGCGGGUCUCUGGGCCGAAACUGACGCUGAGGAGCGAAAGCGUGGGGAGCAAACAGG
Molecule: ribosomal RNA, 253 nt
Filed under: uncultured bacterium
Lineage: Bacteria
Description: partial 16S ribosomal RNA
Rfam family: Bacterial small subunit ribosomal RNA
Source: RNAcentral